GGGCCCGUAGCUUAGCCAGGUAACCUUUUUCCGCUCCAUAGGCUUUGCCUAUUCCGCGAAAAAGCUUAACCAAAAAUGAGGCGGCGUGCGCUCACUAUGUUCGCUUAGCCGCGUUGGGUAAUGGAGUGCCUGACUGAUAAUCAGGUGGUCCCGUGUUCAAAUCACGGCGGGCCCA
This 175-nucleotide transfer RNA is filed under the name Candidatus Woesearchaeota archaeon. RNAcentral describes it as "tRNA-Ile". The stretch from base 103 to 167 matches the Rfam family "tRNA", at positions 10 to 63 of the family's 71-position model. The record is from RNAcentral. Lineage: Archaea; Nanobdellati; Candidatus Woesearchaeota.